GAUUUUGGAGGAUUUGAGAAAUGGUGAACAUUUGCGAAAACAACUCCGUACUGGUACUAGGAUGUUUAAAAAUGGCGACGAGGAUAAUAUUGAGACCAUUGAUAGAAUGAUAGCUGCUGGUGAAGUAACCUACAAUAAGUGGCAGCAUCCUGAUCCUUACAUUGUUCCCUGGGCUCCUGGUGGCUCCAAGUUUUGCCGUAACCCAACUCCACCUGAGGGG
Molecule: long non-coding RNA, 220 nt
Organism: Olea europaea var. sylvestris
Lineage: Eukaryota; Viridiplantae; Streptophyta; Magnoliopsida; Lamiales; Oleaceae
Exons: 3
Source: RefSeq, a predicted model, not a curated record